CACAGUUGUUGCAAGUCAAACUCCAGGCAAUGAUAGACCAGAUCUUCAGGAAUACAGAAGAGGGAGUCAAGAUUGUGAAGAAGUUGAAGUUAAUUCUUCUACUUUGGAGGCUAUUGUUGCAUCUGAAAUAAAUAAUACAACAAUCAAAGAAAUGACAGAUCAUACUUACAAAAAACGUGGAAAAAGCAGUUCUUCUAAAGACACCAAUGAAUUAUUACUGGCAGGCUCUGUGUCACCAGUCAUGUACAAUGGGAUCAACUUGGUCGACAUUGGCUGCCUUCCGUCGUCUCCUUAGAAAUUUGCUAGAAAGAUCAUGGAGAUCUUGUUUACAGCGAAGGAGAUGAUGGAUGGUACUCUUUACAAGAAACGUUUUUCAAAGUCAAUGACUAAGAAGCCUCUCUUAUCUCCAUCAAGACGGGAAUUGAUAAUGAAAUGUUUGAUUGAGAAAUGUAGUCAAUCAUUCUAAAAGAGUCCUUGAACGCAAUUCAGCAGUCACUUAAUCAGAAGUGCCAGGAUGUGGCGAGCUCAAGAAGACACAAGGCUAAAAGAGAGCUGUUUGAAAGUAGGGAUCUCACCCAGAAGUCUGUGCUCUUCAAGUGACGAGGAUUAACAUUAGACUGUAGUAGAAUUGCAAUUGCAUGGGUAUUACAUGUAUAUACUUCAUAGCUAUAUGAUGAUUAAGGUCUUUGAAAAUAUUGAA
Long non-coding RNA from Corticium candelabrum, 700 nucleotides. RefSeq lists it as uncharacterized. The record is from RefSeq and is a predicted model, not a curated record. Lineage: Eukaryota; Metazoa; Porifera; Homoscleromorpha; Homosclerophorida; Plakinidae. The transcript is spliced from 5 exons.